AAGGCUGGGGUCGUGGUUGUUGGGGGCAGCAGGCUGGCGACUGUGGGCUCUGGGACAUCAGAUCACUUGCUGCUGUGCCAUGAGGACCUUGGAAGGGAAAGCCAAGCCCCACAAAAACUUUAAGGGAAGACUCCUAUGUCAACUGAAUAUGUUUUGCCAGCUUGCGUAACAAGAUCUCUCUCUAGGUCUUUGGGGGUAUUCCAUGUAUUCUCCAGGGAAAGUCCAGGCUGUAUGUGUGUCUACACUGCUGUCCCCUCCAGCUUUGUACAAACAGAUCAUCUCCAGAGUUUUAGGAACCCUGGUGCCCACCAUGCAGGGACUUCCUGGGUGGUGCAGUGGUUAAGAAUCCACCUGCCGAUACAGGGGACAUGGGUUCGAUCCCUGCUCCAGGAAGAUCCCACAUGCCAUGGAGCAACUAAGCCUGUGUGCCACAACUACUGAGCCUGUUCUCUAGAGCCCAUAAGCCACAACUAUUGAGCCUGUGUGCCACAACUACUGAAGCCUGUGAACCUAGAGCCCAUGCUCUGCAACAAAAGAAGCCACCGCAAUGAGGAGCCCAUGAACCACAAUGAAAAGUACCCCCUGCUCACCGCAACUAGAGAAAUCCUAUUCACAACAAUGAAGACCCAACACAGCGAAUAAAUAAACAAAUUUAUUUAUUUAAAAAACAUUGUGUUCUAGUUCUGUGAAAAAUGCCAUUGGUAAUUUGAUAGAGAUUGCAUUGAAUCUGUAGGUUGCUUUGGGUAGUAUAUUCAUUUUGACAAUAUUGAUUCUUCCAAUUCAAGAACAUGGUAUAUCCCUACAUCUGUUUGUGUCAUCUUUGAUUUCUUUCAUCAGUAUCUUAUAGUUUUCUGAGUGCAGGUCUUUUGCCUCCUUAGGUAGGUUUGUUCCUAGGUAUUUUAUUUUUUUUGAUGCAAAUGGUAAG
Hippopotamus amphibius kiboko is the source of this 925-nucleotide long non-coding RNA. RefSeq lists it as uncharacterized. The transcript is spliced from 4 exons. The record is from RefSeq and is a predicted model, not a curated record. Lineage: Eukaryota; Metazoa; Chordata; Mammalia; Artiodactyla; Hippopotamidae.